Molecule: ribosomal RNA, 506 nt
Filed under: uncultured bacterium
Lineage: Bacteria
Description: partial 16S ribosomal RNA
Rfam family: Bacterial small subunit ribosomal RNA
Source: RNAcentral
AGUGAACGCUGGCGGUAGGCCUAACACAUGCAAGUCGAACGGCAGCACAGAGGAGCUUGCUCCUUGGGUGGCGAGUGGCGGACGGGUGAGGAAUACAUCGGAAUCUACUCUGUCGUGGGGGAUAACGUAGGGAAACUUACGCUAAUACCGCAUACGACCUACGGGUGAAAGCAGGGGACCUUCGGGCCUUGCGCGAUUGAAUGAGCCGAUGUCGGAUUAGCUAGUUGGAGGGGUAAAGGCCCACCAGGGCGAAGAUCCGUAGCUGGUCUGAGAGGAUGAUCAGCCACACUGGAACUGAGACACGGUCCAGACUCCUACGGGAGGCAGCAGUGGGGAAUAUUGGACAAUGGGCGCAAGCCUGAUCCAGCCAUACCGCGUGGGUGAAGAAGGCCUUCGGGUUGUAAAGCCCUUUUGUUGGGAAAGAAAUCCAGCUGGCUAAUACCCGGUUGGGAUGACGGUACCCAAAGAAUAAGCACCGGCUAACUUCGUGCCAGCCGCCGCCGUAA